UGCAGUUCGAGCGGACAGAUGGGAGCUUGCUCCCUGAUGUUAGCGGCGGACGGGUGAGUAACACGUGGGUAACCUGCCUGUAAGACUGGGAUAACUCCGGGAAACCGGGGCUAAUACCGGAUGGUUGUUUGAACCGCAUGGUUCAGACAUAAAAGGUGGCUUCGGCUACCACUUACAGAUGGACCCGCGGCGCAUUAGCUAGUUGGUGAGGUAACGGCUCACCAAGGCGACGAUGCGUAGCCGACCUGAGAGGGUGAUCGGCCACACUGGGACUGAGACACGGCCCAGACUCCUACGGGAGGCAGCAGUAGGGAAUCUUCCGCAAUGGACGAAAGUCUGACGGAGCAACGCCGCGUGAGUGAUGAAGGUUUUCGGAUCGUAAAGCUCUGUUGUUAGGGAAGAACAAGUGCCGUUCAAAUAGGGCGGCACCUUGACGGUACCUAACCAGAAAGCCACGGCUAACUACGUGCCAGCAGCCGCGGUAAUACGUAGGUGGCAAGCGUUGUCCGGAAUUAUUGGGCGUAAAGGGCUCGCAGGCGGUUUCUUAAGUCUGAUGUGAAAGCCCCCGGCUCAACCGGGGAGGGUCAUUGGAAACUGGGGAACUUGAGUGCAGAAGAGGAGAGUGGAAUUCCACGUGUAGCGGUGAAAUGCGUAGAGAUGUGGAGGAACACCAGUGGCGAAGGCGACUCUCUGGUCUGUAACUGACGCUGAGGAGCGAAAGCGUGGGGAGCGAACAGGAUUAGAUACCCUGGUAGUCCACGCCGUAAACGAUGAGUGCUAAGUGUUAGGGGGUUUCCGCCCCUUAGUGCUGCAGCUAACGCAUUAAGCACUCCGCCUGGGGAGUACGGUCGCAAGACUGAAACUCAAAGGAAUUGACGGGGGCCCGCACAAGCGGUGGAGCAUGUGGUUUAAUUCGAAGCAACGCGAAGAACCUUACCAGGUCUUGACAUCCUCUGACAAUCCUAGAGAUAGGACGUCCCCUUCGGGGGCAGAGUGACAGGUGGUGCAUGGUUGUCGUCAGCUCGUGUCGUGAGAUGUUGGGUUAAGUCCCGCAACGAGCGCAACCCUUGAUCUUAGUUGCCAGCAUUCAGUUGGGCACUCUAAGGUGACUGCCGGUGACAAACCGGAGGAAGGUGGGGAUGACGUCAAAUCAUCAUGCCCCUUAUGACCUGGGCUACACACGUGCUACAAUGGACAGAACAAAGGGCAGCGAAACCGCGAGGUUAAGCCAAUCCCACAAAUCUGUUCUCAGUUCGGAU
This 1259-nucleotide ribosomal RNA is filed under the name Bacillus sp. (in: firmicutes). Its description in RNAcentral is "bacterial SSU rRNA". It matches the Rfam family "Bacterial small subunit ribosomal RNA", at positions 56 to 1298 of the family's 1533-position model. Lineage: Bacteria; Bacillati; Bacillota; Bacilli; Caryophanales; Bacillaceae. The record is from RNAcentral.